RNAcentral lists this ribosomal RNA (116 nucleotides) under Escherichia coli. RNAcentral also lists the same sequence under 2 other names. Lineage: Bacteria; Pseudomonadati; Pseudomonadota; Gammaproteobacteria; Enterobacterales; Enterobacteriaceae. The record is from RNAcentral.
CCUGGCGGCAGUAGCGCGGUGGUCCCACCUGACCCCAUGCCGAACUCAGAAGUGAAACGCCGUAGCGCCGAUGGUAGUGUGGGGUCUCCCCAUGCGAGAGUAGGGAACUGCCAAGC